GCUCCCGGCGGCCGCGCAGCCAAGGCUCCGCUUCCAGAGGGCACGAGAGGGAUAGAAAAACCCUCACAGCACCGAGCCCGGCCGCUCAAGGGCCGCCCAAGUUUCUCUCCCUGGGGGAAGGCGGUCUCACUGCCGGCUCCCCGCCGAGGAAGAGGCUGCCCGCCCCGAGGCGCCCGGAGAGCAGGACUCGGACGGCGACGGGAGUCCCUCAGCCCGGCACGGCUCCCCCGGCGCGGCGGGGGCCGCGGGCGCUCCCUUGGGAGGCGCCGCCUCCCACCCCCGGGGGCCCUGCCCGGAUGGGCGCCGGAGUUGGUUCCAGUUUCCCCUCCUCGACUGAAAUCCGCCGCAGUCUUUCUCCAUCGCUACUGUUCUUCCUUUUUCAGCCCGGGGGGUUGUUUUGCCGUGUAAAUCCAUUCAUCCUCCAAAUGCAAGCAUUACAUGGCCCUGAUAAAUCACUAGCAAGACAAACUAGUGCCGCUGAGAGAAACACUUCAUUACGAGUUGGGCUAGAAGACAGCAACAACAAUUCUAUGAGAGCAGUAGGAGCCUGGUAACAGGCAGAGAGGAAGUGCAGUAAACUUGAAGAGAAACCGAGCCUCUGGUGUACACAGUUUCCAUACAAGUCAAGACAAGCCUGAUCAAUGACGGUUGGAGUAGAAGCGGACUAACAACAUAUACAGCAGAGAACUUGGACUAUUUUGGACUUUUUCAUGCUAUGAUCAGCCGAUUAGUUGUUAACAUUCAAAAUCACAGACACAGAACUUUUAAGGUCACAGAAUGAUUGAAGUGGGAAGGAACAUCUGCAGAUUGUCUAGUCCAACCCUCUGUUGAAAGCAGAGUCAGAUACUGCAGGUUGCUUAGAGCUGGAUAUCUUCAAGGACGGAAUCUCCACAGCUUCCCUUUGCUGCCUGUUCCAGUGUCUGACCACCCUCACAAUAAGUGGGUUUUUUACAUUCAGAUGGAAUUUUAUCAGAGAAUGAGAGUUCAGUGACUAACAAGUCUGCUAGGCCUUGAUGCAUCAGUACAGCAGAAACACAUCCUGGAGAGUCAAUUGCAUAUUGAAGUUAAGUGAGAAGCACACCACAUGGUUAUCCAGCCCAUUGUCAAAUAAGGCAGCUGUCUGCCGUUCAAACUCUCUUACUCUAUUACAUAAUUCCACGAGGCAACUUAUGGCCGAUUAUGUACAAGCUCAUUGUUUGGCAUGAUUUGCUGAAGCAAGAGCAAAGGCCUUCAUCUAUCUCAGCUUCAGCAACGCCACCAGCCGAGGCAUUCUAAAUACUAAUAUGAACGCUAAGCUGAGACAAAUAACAUUAUCACGAUGUUUUUUCUCUUCCUUGUUUAAGGUCUGACCUGUUCUGCUUGCAUACGGAAGCUGGGCCAAGAAAGAUUCCACCUUUUGAGAUAAAUUAGUAUUGAAAGUAGUAAACCUUGAAUUAAUUAAAGAGUCUGAUUUCAGUGACUCAGGAAUUCCAGAGAAGUGAUUCUGUCAUCUUAAACCUUCUGUUGAGUAAUUCUACUUGAAGUAGCCUUAUGUUCAGAACUCUGUCUUUAGUUCUAUGUUAGCCCUUCCUGUAAGUAUACACUCAUGUUUCCAGUGUGAUGUUAAUAUUUGAUUUACAAAUGCAGGAAAUGUACUUGGAAUACACUGGUUUCCACAUUUAUUCCUAGCAUGUCUAAGUACUUCUAGAAUGAAGUAGCUAAAAAAGUUAGAAAAGAGAGGCACCCUGAAGUGUUUUUUACAUUGGGGUUUACAUCAAACAGGCAGAGGAAGACAUGGCUGCUCUUCAGAAGGCUUUAACAAAGGUCUCAGGUGUUGCUUCACCUACCACUAAACCAGGUGAAACCCUGUCAGGUCUAUCAAUAUACCAAUUUAUGUGGCCACACCCUAGUUCACUACUUAUCAAAGUGGGUUAGGUUAGAAACACAAGUAUUUGGAGGUAUUUAAUUAAUCAAACCACUUUAAAAAAUGAGGCUAAGAGCAUAAGAGAUAUAGUGAGGGGUUUGGGGAAAUGCUAAGCUCCAGCUAAUGAGGCAGGGCAGUAAUCUGUAGCUGGGGCAGUAGGUCUCAUUUAGCUUCUGCCAGAACUGGCUGUACUUGGACUACAGCACUUGUCCUGCCUUCUUGCUGUCAGACAAGAAAGCACCUGCAGUGCUGCCCCAUUUCAGUGGCAGUUUUGCUAGGUCAGGGGACCCCUCCACCCCUCUGACCAUAAAAAUGCUCUGAAAAUUGCUGCCCUCAAUUCUACUGGCCCAGUCUUUCAAAAAGUCACUCUCUAUUUCAGUUUGGGCAAACCAAAAUGCACCUGCAAAGACCUGUCAUCGAAAGUGAGUAGGCCUGGCUCAUUUCAACACAGGUUGGUUGGGGAGCAACUGGACAAGUUACACUGGCAGAACCUGGGAGGUGGAAAUGUAUGGUGGGGGUGGUAAUGAGCAGCUAGGGGUUCCCUAAGUGUUCUUCUGGUAGCCUAGCUACAGCCAGAACUAGCUGUGUGUACACAGGAAACCAGCGUCCCUGAGCAUCCUCUUUUGUUCAUGGAGAGAGUUGGGUGGCUAUAAGACAUAGUUCAUCCUGCUAAGGUUCUGAAUCACCCUUUGAAAUUGUAAAAUGCACAUAAAUAUAAGAAAGUGAUUCAUAAAUCUAGAUUAUUAUUUUUCUGAUAGUCUAGAGAAGCAUUUCCAUCACAGUUCUCUGAAAUACUAUAUCUGAUUGACACAAACAGGGGAAAAGGUUUUUUUAAAAUUAAUAAAUUUUAAGACAAGUUUAGGUUAGUGAUAGGUUCUCUGCUAACAUACAAUGAGAAAAAAAAAUUAUCUAUUGAGUAUUUUCUGUCCCACAGCAUUAAACCCUGCUGUCAAUAGUAAGAAUUUAACUGUAGGGACUAUUACUAGAAAAAGCCAAAUUAGAUCAGCUAAAAUCUAAUCGUUGUUAAAAAAAUUUCUAAAUGUGGUAGGUGUACAUUUAUUUAUGUUCCUAAAAUGUAAGGAGUUGUGGGGUUUUUUUGUUUAUGCACUGUAUAAAGUUCAUCCUAAUUGAAAAUGUGAGGAGUCCACCUUGACUAAAGACAAAAUGCUGCUACAACACAGGAACAAUGUUUCUGAACUUGUAAUUUAAUGACACUUUGAACAGCUCAAGUCAGAGCUCCUACUGUUCUGUUGAAAUUCUGGACCAGCUAAACAAAACCAGCAGUUUCUCUCAAUCCCCCAUUACUAGCUCUCUUCAGUCUUUGCUUAGAUUUUCUCUGCAAUCAGUUCAUCUGCCUCAAACUAAAAAAGUAGAGAGAAUGCAAAAGAACACAAACUGUAGCUGCAGUGGUCUGGCUCAGAGCUCCUGAGCUUGCAGCAAUGAAAUUUCUCUUUCCUUUACACUGAGGCUGCAUCUGCUUCUGGGUAAGAAUCUGCUGUCAGAUGUUAAAUAUGAAACAGUCUUUUGUAAGGCUGUACUAGGGAUGUAGAGGUUAGUUUACUGGCUAUUUUGUAGCAAGGAAGUAUUGUAAAUAUAUAGUAAGUAUUUCCAUUUUCCUUGCAUAUGUUUUCCUGGGCUAACUGUGCUUAUCAGUUUUUGUGUGUAUUUAAUGAUAAAUAUAUUAAUAAAUGAUUGAUUCAGCUGA
This is a long non-coding RNA of Corvus hawaiiensis (hawaiian crow), 3608 nucleotides long. RefSeq lists it as uncharacterized. The record is from RefSeq and is a predicted model, not a curated record. The transcript has 4 exons. Lineage: Eukaryota; Metazoa; Chordata; Aves; Passeriformes; Corvidae.